CGAUAAAUAGGUAACAGAAUGGGAUGCAUAGCAUGCUAGCAUGCAUUAUGCAUCCCAUUAUAGUUACUGUAACGGAUAUGAGUAAAUAGCACGAUAGUGCGGUUUACGAAUGUCCGUCAGAUUGCGGGAGCAAAGCGGAGCAAUCUGUUUAUCG
RNAcentral lists this small RNA (154 nucleotides) under Butyrivibrio proteoclasticus B316. RNAcentral's name for it is "Clostridiales-1 RNA". It matches the Rfam family "Clostridiales-1 RNA". Lineage: Bacteria; Bacillati; Bacillota; Clostridia; Lachnospirales; Lachnospiraceae. The record is from Rfam by way of RNAcentral.